This 257-nucleotide ribosomal RNA is filed under the name uncultured bacterium. RNAcentral describes it as "partial 16S ribosomal RNA". It matches the Rfam family "Bacterial small subunit ribosomal RNA", at positions 524 to 776 of the family's 1533-position model. The record is from RNAcentral.
UACGUAGGGUCCGAGCGUUGUCCGGAAUUAUUGGGCGUAAAGGGCUCGUAGGCGGUUUUGUCGCGUCGGGGAGUGAAAAACCUACAGCUUAACUGUGGGCUUGCUUUCGAUACGGGCAGACUUGAGGCAUGCAGGGGGAGAACGGAAUUCCUGGUGUAGCGGUGAAAUGCGCAGAUAUCAGGAGGAACACCCGUGGCGAAAGCGGCUCUCUGGAACGGUACUGACGCUGAGACGCGAAAGCGUGGGGAGCGAACAGG